GCUGUAGCUCAGUGACAGAGCAACUGCUUUGCAUGCAGAAGGUCCCGGGUUCAACCCCUGGUGUCUCCU
Molecule: transfer RNA, 69 nt
Filed under: Podarcis lilfordi (Lilford's wall lizard)
Lineage: Eukaryota; Metazoa; Chordata; Lepidosauria; Squamata; Lacertidae
Description: tRNA.Ala
Rfam family: tRNA
About the family: Transfer RNA (tRNA) molecules are approximately 80 nucleotides in length. Their secondary structure includes four short double-helical elements and three loops (D, anti-codon, and T loops).
Source: RNAcentral